This is a long non-coding RNA of Anolis sagrei ordinatus, 386 nucleotides long. RefSeq lists it as uncharacterized. The record is from RefSeq and is a predicted model, not a curated record. NCBI's taxonomy places the organism in Eukaryota, Metazoa, Chordata, Lepidosauria, Squamata, Anolidae.
UCUACACCUCUUUGCUACAAACUCCGGGAAACAAAGGAAGCAGCGUGGGCGGUAGAGGGGCUUGUGGUCCGAUAUGUGUGAACUAUAGCCGAACGAAACAUUUAUAGUUAAAACAUGCAGUGGAAAGUAGCUGAAGUGUGGAUGGUGAUCUCCAUACCCACAUGAAUAUUCAACAGCCAGUGGUGGAUGAGCGAGGAUAGAGGUACGAGCCUUGUUCCUGUAACUGGCUGAGUGAGACACUUUGGUUCACAGUCUCACAUGGACUUUAUGAGAUAGGAAGAUGCUGUAAACAAAACUUUUGGCAACUGGGGUGGUAACAGUAGGUCUGGUGGAGGUAUCAUCCCACCCCUACUUUACCAGCUUCCUGACGGAGAACAGGUGAGUUG